Molecule: ribosomal RNA, 484 nt
Filed under: uncultured bacterium
Lineage: Bacteria
Description: partial 16S ribosomal RNA
Rfam family: Bacterial small subunit ribosomal RNA
Source: RNAcentral
AUUGAACGCUGGCGGCAGGCCUAACACAUGCAAGUCGAGCGGAUGAAGGGAGCUUGCUCCUGGAUUCAGCGGCGGACGGGUGAGUAAUGCCUAGGAAUCUGCCUGGUAGUGGGGGAUAACGUCCGGAAACGGGCGCUAAUACCGCAUACGUCCUGAGGGAGAAAGUGGGGGAUCUUCGGACCUCACGCUAUCAGAUGAGCCUAGGUCGGAUUAGCUAGUUGGUGGGGUAAAGGCCUACCAAGGCGACGAUCCGUAACUGGUCUGAGAGGAUGAUCAGUCACACUGGAACUGAGACACGGUCCAGAUUCCUACGGGAGGCAGCAGUGGGGAAUAUUGGACAAUGGGCGAAAGCCUGAUCCAGCCAUGCCGCGUGUGUGAAGAAGGUCUUCGGAUUGCAAAGCACUUUAAGUUGGGAGGAAGGGCAGUAAGUUAAUACCUUGCUGUUUUGACGUUACCAACAGAAUAAGCACCGGCUAACUUCGUG